Molecule: ribosomal RNA, 250 nt
Filed under: uncultured bacterium
Lineage: Bacteria
Description: partial 16S ribosomal RNA
Rfam family: Archaeal small subunit ribosomal RNA
Source: RNAcentral
CACCGGCGGCCCGAGUGGUGAUCGUGAUUAUUGGGUCUAAAGGGUCCGUAGCCGGUUUGGUCAGUCCUCCGGGAAAUCUGAUGGCUCAACCAUUAGGCUUUCGGGGGAUACUGCCAGGCUUGGAACCGGGAGAGGUAAGAGGUACUACAGGGGUAGGAGUGAAAUCUUGUAAUCCCUGUGGGACCACCUGUGGCGAAGGCGUCUUACCAGAACGGGUUCGACGGUGAGGGACGAAAGCUGGGGGCACGAA